CCUACGGGGGACAGCAGUAAGGAAUAUUGCUCAAUGGGGGUAACCCUGAAGCAGCCACGCCGCGUGGAGGAUGACUGUUUUAUGAUUGUUAACUCCUUUUGUUAGAGAAGAUAAUGACGGUAUCUAACGAAUAAGCCCCGGCUAACUCCGUGCCAGCAGCCGCGGUAAUACGGAGGGUGCAAGCGUUACUCGGAAUCACUGGGCGUAAGGAGCGCGUAGGCGGGAUAGCAAGUCAGAUGUGAAAUCCUAUGGCUUAACCAUAGAACUGCAUUGGAAACUGUUAUUCUAGAGUAUGGGGGAGGUAGGUGGAAUUCGUGGUGUAGGGGUAAAAUCCUUAGAGAUCAAGAGGAAUACUCAUUGCGAAGGCGACCUGCUAGAACAUAACUGACGCUGAUGCGCGAAAGCGUGGGGAUCAAACAGGAUUAGAUACCCGAGUAGUC
RNAcentral lists this ribosomal RNA (440 nucleotides) under uncultured bacterium. Its description in RNAcentral is "partial 16S ribosomal RNA". It matches the Rfam family "Bacterial small subunit ribosomal RNA", at positions 338 to 795 of the family's 1533-position model. The record is from RNAcentral.